GAUGAACGCUGGCGGCGUGCCUAAUACAUGCAAGUCGAGCGAACAGACGAGGAGCUUGCUCCUCUGACGUUAGCGGCGGACGGGUGAGUAACACGUGGAUAACCUACCUAUAAGACUGGGAUAACUUCGGGAAACCGGAGCUAAUACCGGAUAAUAUAUUGAACCGCAUGGUUCAAUAGUGAAAGACGGUUUUGCUGUCACUUAUAGAUGGAUCCGCGCCGCAUUAGCUAGUUGGUAAGGUAACGGCUUACCAAGGCAACGAUGCGUAGCCGACCUGAGAGGGUGAUCGGCCACACGGGAACUGAGACACGGUCCAGACUCCUACGGGAGGCAGCAGUAGGGAAUCUUCCGCAAUGGGCGAAAGCCUGACGGAGCAACGCCGCGUGAGUGAUGAAGGUCUUCGGAUCGUAAAGCUCUGUUAGUAGGGAAGAACAAAUGUGUAAGUAACUAUGCACGUCUUGACGGUACCUAAUCAGAAAGCCACGGCUAACUACGUG
This 497-nucleotide ribosomal RNA is filed under the name uncultured bacterium. RNAcentral's name for it is "partial 16S ribosomal RNA". It matches the Rfam family "Bacterial small subunit ribosomal RNA", at positions 28 to 507 of the family's 1533-position model. The record is from RNAcentral.